This 237-nucleotide long non-coding RNA is filed under the name Theobroma cacao (cacao). RNAcentral describes it as "long non-coding RNA (TCAC_LNC006259)". The record is from RNAcentral. Lineage: Eukaryota; Viridiplantae; Streptophyta; Magnoliopsida; Malvales; Malvaceae.
AAGAACAAAGAGAGGAAAAGAAAAACAAGAAACGUAGGUGGGAAAAUUAAAGAAAAAGUGUGGGAUUUCAAGGAAUCAAGCAAUCAAAGGAAAAAUUUCUUGAUUUUGACUUGUGAUCUACCUUUCCCAUGCUUUUCUCCUUAUUUUCCAUGGUUAGAUUUCAUGUUUUCAUAGUGAAUUCAUGGCUGCCCAAAUGGGUAUGGAGAGAGAAUGAAGUUAGAUUGAUUUGAUUUUAAG